CGUUGGGGGGGGGGGGGGGGGGGGGCUGGCCGAGGAUGCUGAAACUGCAGAUCAGCUUGGAGCCGGGAGGGCAACGGCGGCAAACAGACCGGACCUGAGGCUCUCAGAUACCCCAGCAGGCACGGCUGUGGCACCUGCUUCCCUCUUACUCAGACUUCAACUGUUCCCUCUGCUCAAACUUGUGGCUGUCGUGUSCUUGGGAGCAGUGCCCACCGCAGGGGCGAAGUCAGGAACUGGAAGGUGUUUCAGGUAGCUCACCAAACACACUGAAGUCCUCCAGACAGAUGACAUUGAGGAGGGAAGGAUAAUGRGAGGAAAAAUGAGAAGCAAGAGGUGAGGAUUAUCACAUCCUCUGGAAUCASUGUAGCCACGAGACUUUGCAACCAGUGUGCUCAGCCUUGCACGUGGGCCUUCCAGAGCUGGUGAGAAGUUCUGAGUGGAGCCACAGGCUUGGCUGUCUUUCCAGCCUGCGGGGUCAACAGUCGGAGACUGCGGAAGGUGAGAGGCAGCAGAGGAGGAAACACAGUAGCGAUAGUGUCUGGAUCAGCAUCACAAAAGAGGAGGGACCAGAUGAGGACACCAGUGGUCUGAAAUCAAGCCAGCCUGGGACGCCCUGAUGGCGCUUGGGCAGCACCGCACGCCGGUGGUUGCAUCCGCCUCCCUCGCACACCCAGAGAGGACCCAAGGAGUCCCCGUAAUGUUUCUGGGCCCCGGGUGGUUGCAGUACGCCAACCUCGGGCACGCCAGUCUCAAGACCCAGCUGUACCUUCUUUGCACAACCCGCUGCUGUUUCAUUUAUGAAUUGGAGGUGCUCUGAUAAACACACUGAAAGGUCAGCUAUUUUCACUGUGGCUUGCAUAAGAACCUCAACAUCCUCUGCUGCAAGAGCCGUGUUAGUAACUUCCUACUGCAGCACUGAAUCACAAUAGCUUCCCACAAUAACCCGCAGUAAAAAUAAACCGGGUAAGGGGAAGUGGACGGCUUCGGUU
This 989-nucleotide long non-coding RNA is filed under the name Dromaius novaehollandiae (emu). RNAcentral's name for it is "lncRNA (ENSDNVG00000008257.1)". Lineage: Eukaryota; Metazoa; Chordata; Aves; Casuariiformes; Dromaiidae. The record is from RNAcentral.